CAAAAGCCUGUGAGGAAGAAAAGUAGUGAAGCACGUGCCCGGACAGAGAAAAAUGCCGCGACUGAGAGCAUUUACGGUGUACCUUCAUGAACAGACACUUCUGAGGCGUUUUUCUGAAAUAAGUAGGAAAAACCGCGAAUUGCGUUAUCAACAAAAAGUGAAAGCUUCGGCUUUAACGAGGGUGGCACCGCGGAAAACUUCCGUCCCUGCG
Molecule: non-coding RNA, 211 nt
Filed under: Domibacillus enclensis
Lineage: Bacteria; Bacillati; Bacillota; Bacilli; Caryophanales; Bacillaceae
Description: T-box sequence
Rfam family: T-box leader
About the family: Uncharged tRNA acts as the effector for transcription antitermination of genes in the T-box leader family. T-boxes are found upstream of many aminoacyl-tRNA synthetase genes and some amino acid biosynthetic genes usually in Gram-positive bacteria. The anticodon of a specific tRNA base pairs to a specifier sequence within the T-box motif, and the NCCA acceptor tail of the tRNA base pairs to a conserved bulge in the T-box antiterminator hairpin.
Source: RNAcentral